AUGCUAGUCUUACUUAUGUUACGGUUUCUGUUGCAGGGCAUUUACGAGAUCAAGGCUGCCAAGGAAUUCCCCGACAUUGAUCCUGAGCAUCUCAAGGCUGCCAGGAAAUUCCCCAAACUUCGUGUCAAGGAUGCCGAUGCUACGGCUCUGAAUGUCUUCAAGAUUCUCCGGGACAGUCCAGUCGAUGGUCAUAAAGAUGUAACCCUACGUGAAGUGCGCAUGACUCUGAGGACCUUGGCUGAGAUUCAGGAAGAAGAAUGA
Molecule: ribosomal RNA, 261 nt
Filed under: Triticum aestivum (bread wheat)
Lineage: Eukaryota; Viridiplantae; Streptophyta; Magnoliopsida; Poales; Poaceae
Description: partial small subunit ribosomal RNA
Source: RNAcentral